UCUGGAGUAGCUCAAUGGUGGAGCGGGUGGCUGUUAACCACUAGGCUGGGGGUUCGAGUCCCUCCUCCAGAG
Molecule: transfer RNA, 72 nt
Filed under: Fidelibacterota bacterium
Lineage: Bacteria; Pseudomonadati; Fidelibacterota
Description: tRNA-Asn
Rfam family: tRNA
About the family: Transfer RNA (tRNA) molecules are approximately 80 nucleotides in length. Their secondary structure includes four short double-helical elements and three loops (D, anti-codon, and T loops).
Source: RNAcentral